RNAcentral lists this long non-coding RNA (343 nucleotides) under Ricinus communis (castor bean). RNAcentral describes it as "long non-coding RNA (RCOM_LNC001332)". Lineage: Eukaryota; Viridiplantae; Streptophyta; Magnoliopsida; Malpighiales; Euphorbiaceae. The record is from RNAcentral.
GGCUAUCGACAUUUGGUACAACACUAUGGAUGAAUAUGAGGUCCAAGACAGCAGUGCUAAAGACAUAUGGGUAGAUAGUGACUCUGAUAAAGAGACUGGGCCAGAAACUAAAAGUAGUGACAAGGGGGCACAAGAGUUGAAGCAAGUAAAUAAAGGUUCAAAAGAAUAGGAUAAAAAUUUAUUAGAAGAAUUAAAGAAGAAUAAGAAGACCGAUAUUUGGGAACUGCUGAUGCACAAUAUGUGAGGGACCGACUUUUUUCUAUGGGUUUCCACUGCUAGUCCGAAGUCUACUCUUUGUACUAGGUCCAUUUCAAAAUGAGCCAUUUAGUUGAGGGCCCUAAGG